RNAcentral lists this ribosomal RNA (468 nucleotides) under uncultured bacterium. RNAcentral describes it as "partial 16S ribosomal RNA". It matches the Rfam family "Bacterial small subunit ribosomal RNA", at positions 28 to 507 of the family's 1533-position model. The record is from RNAcentral.
GACGAACGCUGGCGGCGUGCUUAACACAUGCAAGUCGAACGGAAAGGCCCUGCUUUUGUGGGGUGCUCGAGUGGCGAACGGGUGAGUAACACGUGAGUAACCUGCCCUUGACUUUGGGAUAACUUCAGGAAACUGGGGCUAAUACCGGAUAGGAGCUCCUGCUGCAUGGUGGGGGUUGGAAAGUUUCGGCGGUUGGGGAUGGACUCGCGGCUUAUCAGCUUGUUUGUGGGGUAGUGGCUUACCAAGGCUUCGACGGGUAGCCGGCCUGACAGGGUGGCCGGCCCCAUUGGGACUGAGGUACGGCCCAGACUGCUACGGGAGGCAGCAGUGGGGAAUAUUGCGCAAUGGGCGGAAGCCUGAUGCAGCAACGCCGCGUGCGGGAUGACGGCCUUCGGGUUGUAAACCGCUUUCGCCGGUGACGAAGCGGGAGUGACGGUAAUGGGUAAAGAAGCACCGGCUAACUACGUG